UCCAAACAAUUAUACCUAGGGGAAAAGGAUUUAAACCUUCGACAAAAAAUCCAAAAUUUUCCGUAUUUCCAACUAUACUAUCCCCUA
RNAcentral lists this transfer RNA (87 nucleotides) under Laudakia tuberculata. RNAcentral's name for it is "tRNA-Gln". Lineage: Eukaryota; Metazoa; Chordata; Lepidosauria; Squamata; Agamidae. The record is from RNAcentral.